RNAcentral lists this ribosomal RNA (468 nucleotides) under uncultured bacterium. RNAcentral describes it as "partial 16S ribosomal RNA". It matches the Rfam family "Bacterial small subunit ribosomal RNA", at positions 28 to 507 of the family's 1533-position model. The record is from RNAcentral.
GACGAACGCUGGCGGCGUGCUUAACACAUGCAAGUCGAACGGAAAGGCCCUGCUUUUGUGGGGUGCUCGAGUGGCGAACGGGUGAGUAACACGUGAGUAACCUGCCCUUGACUUUGGGAUAACUUCAGGAAACUGGGGCUAAUACCGGAUAGGAGCUCCUGCUGCAUGGUGGGGGUUGGAAAGUUUCGGCGGUCGGGGAUGGACUCGCGGCUUAUCAGCUUGUUGGUUGGGUAGUGGCUUACCAAGGCUUUGACGGGUAGCCGGCCUGGGAGGGUGACCGGCCACAUUGGGACUAAGGUACGGCCCAGACUCCUACGGUGGGCAGCGGUGGGGAGUAUUGCACAGUGGGCGGAAGCCUGAUGCAGCAGCGCCGCGUGCGGGAUGACGGCCUUCGGGUUGUAAACCGCUUUCGCCUGUGACGAAGCGUGAGUGACGGUAAUGGGUAAAGAAGCACCGGCUAACUACGUG